RNAcentral lists this unclassified non-coding RNA (335 nucleotides) under soil metagenome. RNAcentral's name for it is "partial contains 5.8S ribosomal RNA, internal transcribed spacer 2, and large subunit ribosomal RNA". The stretch from base 1 to 120 matches the Rfam family "5.8S ribosomal RNA", at positions 35 to 154 of the family's 154-position model. The record is from RNAcentral.
GAUGAAGAACGUAGCGAAAUGCGAUAAGUAAUGUGAAUUGCAGAAUUCAGUGAAUCAUCGAAUCUUUGAACGCACAUUGCGCCCGCCAGUAUUCUGGCGGGCAUGCCUGUUCGAGCGUCAUUUCGACCAUCAAGCCCCAGGCUUGUGUUGGGGACCUGCGGCUGCCGCAGGCCCUGAAAACCAGUGGCGGGCUCGCUGUCACACCGGGCGUAGUAGAUUUUAUCUCGCUCAGGGCGUGCUGCGGGUUCCGGCCGUUAAAAAGCCUUUUUUACCCAAGGUUGACCUCGGAUCAGGUAGGAAGACCCGCUGAACUUAAGCAUAUAAUAAGCGGAGGA